GGACAUGUAGCUCAGUUGGUUAGAGCACAGCACUCAUAAUGCUGGGGUCAGUGGUUCAACUCCACUCAUGUCCACCA
Molecule: transfer RNA, 77 nt
Filed under: Ignatzschineria indica
Lineage: Bacteria; Pseudomonadati; Pseudomonadota; Gammaproteobacteria; Cardiobacteriales; Ignatzschineriaceae
Also listed under: 2 other names
Description: tRNA-Met
Rfam family: tRNA
About the family: Transfer RNA (tRNA) molecules are approximately 80 nucleotides in length. Their secondary structure includes four short double-helical elements and three loops (D, anti-codon, and T loops).
Source: RNAcentral